This 165-nucleotide non-coding RNA is filed under the name chicken gut metagenome. Its description in RNAcentral is "Lysine riboswitch". It matches the Rfam family "Lysine riboswitch aptamer". From Rfam's summary of the family: Riboswitches are metabolite binding domains within certain messenger RNAs that serve as precision sensors for their corresponding targets. Allosteric rearrangement of mRNA structure is mediated by ligand binding, and this results in modulation of gene expression. The record is from RNAcentral.
AUGAUAGAGGCGCGAACAGGCAUCAGUAACCGGCCAGCACGGGCAGAGCACCCGGCCGGAGAAAGGGCCGUUCGCCGAAGGGCCGUCUCCCUGCCUGGAGAGCGGUAUCCUGGGCCGCGAGAGAACAUCUCCCGGACUGCCACAAAACGGUGUGGAGCGCUAUCA